UACAGAGGUCCCGAGCGUUAGGCGGAAUCACUGGGCUUAAAGCGUGUGUAGGUGGAUCGUUAAGUACCUUGUGAAAUCCCACGGCUUAACCGUGGAACUGCUUGGUAUACUGGCGGUCUUGAGCCAGCUAGGGGCAGCCGGAACAAGCGGUGGAGCGGUGAAAUGCGUAGAUAUCGCUUGGAACGCCGAAGGUGAAAACAGGCUGCUGGGGUUGCGCCGACGCUGAGACACGAAAGCCAGGGGAGCAAACGGG
This 253-nucleotide ribosomal RNA is filed under the name uncultured bacterium. RNAcentral describes it as "partial 16S ribosomal RNA". It matches the Rfam family "Bacterial small subunit ribosomal RNA", at positions 524 to 776 of the family's 1533-position model. The record is from RNAcentral.